CAUCCAGCAAUUUAAACACAAGUAGCUAUGUCCAUCUGCACAGGUCUGUCUCCACUGCUGCACCUUCAUCUUCCAUGCCAUUGAAUGUAAGCUGAUCGUGGUUUGA
Molecule: long non-coding RNA, 106 nt
Organism: Dipodomys spectabilis (banner-tailed kangaroo rat)
Lineage: Eukaryota; Metazoa; Chordata; Mammalia; Rodentia; Heteromyidae
Exons: 3
Source: RefSeq, a predicted model, not a curated record